UAAAAUAGAGGUAGCGAUGCAAAUGAGUACAAUUUGGAGAAGGCAUUCAAUGAAGAAUUGGAAAGGUAACCAUCGCCGAAUGGAUAUAUAAGGCAUUAUAUAUUCAUGGGGCUAUAGAGAAUAUCUAUAUCACUCCCACAUUAUAAUGAUGUGGAGGCGCUA
This 162-nucleotide non-coding RNA is filed under the name bovine gut metagenome. RNAcentral's name for it is "Lysine riboswitch". It matches the Rfam family "Lysine riboswitch aptamer". From Rfam's summary of the family: Riboswitches are metabolite binding domains within certain messenger RNAs that serve as precision sensors for their corresponding targets. Allosteric rearrangement of mRNA structure is mediated by ligand binding, and this results in modulation of gene expression. RNAcentral also lists the same sequence under 1 other name. The record is from RNAcentral.